UCUUAGCUUUGGGAUUGAAAAUAAUUUACUUCUUUGCUAACUCAGCAACUCAGGUGGAAUGGGAAUGAAAAGAAUUUGUUUCUUUGCCAACUCAGUGACUCAGGUGGAAUGGGCAGAAGGUGGAAUGUAGGUCACCAUGGCAACCGGAUCAACGAGGUACCCCAGCUGGCAAGUCCUUGAGGCUGAGGUUCUACUGCUGGCAGACAGAAAGGUGUGGUUGGCAUGGGGCAAUGCUUGAGGUACCAGAUGCACUGGGAGGACCUGGAAGAGUACCAGGCCCUGACCUUCCUGACCAGAAAGGAAAUUCUGUGCAUCCAUGACACCUUCCUGAAGCUCUGCCCUCCUGGGAAGUACUACAAGGAGGCGACGCUCACCAUGGACCAGGUCAGCUCCCUGCCGGCUCUGCGGGUCAACCCUUUCAGAGACCGUAUCUGCAGAGUGUUCUCCCACAAAGGCGUGUUCUCCUUUGAGGAUGUGCUGGGCAUGGCAUCUGUGUUCAGCGAGCAGGCCUGCCCAAGCCUGAAGAUUGAGUACGCCUUUCGCAUCUAUGAUUUUAAUGAGAAUGGCUUCAUUGAUGAAGAGGAUCUGCAGAGGACCAUCCUGCGACUGCUGAACAGUGAUGACAUGUCUGAGGACCUGCUGAUGGACCUCACGAACCACGUCCUGAGUGAAUCGGAUCUGGACAAUGACAACAUGCUGUCCUUCUCAGAGUUUGAACAUGCAAUGGCCAAGUCUCCAGAUUUCAUGAACUCCUUUCGGAUUCACUUCUGGGGAUGCUGAUGUAGCGGCAAAUACCUGACGUGGCAGCCUCGAGGGAGACCACUGGAAUCGAACCCCCUCCAGCACUGGAGGGAGCUGGUUUGAAGAAAAAGGCAAGGAAGUGAAGCCGAGUGACUGCUGACAGGCCUGCUCACUGUAGGGAAGCUCACACAAAUCUGCCUUCAGACCCACCAUUGAAACGUGAACGUGUACGUCUAAGUUAAGGUCAUAUCAGAUCCUGCUGUUGCCAAAUCCAUUGUCCUUGGCUCACACUGUCCCACUGC
Molecule: RNA transcript, 1043 nt
Organism: Symphalangus syndactylus (siamang)
Lineage: Eukaryota; Metazoa; Chordata; Mammalia; Primates; Hylobatidae
Gene: CIB4
Gene name: calcium and integrin binding family member 4
Source: RefSeq, a predicted model, not a curated record